UACGGAGGGUGCGAGCGUUAAUCGGAAUUACUGGGCGUAAAGCGCACGCAGGCGGUCUGUUAAGCAAGAUGUGAAAGCCCCGGGCUCAACCUGGGAACUGCAUUUUGAACUUGGCAGGCUAGAGUCUUGGAGAGGGGAGGUGGAAUUCCAGGUGUAGCGGUGAAAUGCGUAGAAGAUCUGGAGGAACAUCAGUGGGCAGAAGGCGGCUCCCUGGCCAAAGACCUGGACAGCUCAUGUGCGAAAGUGUGGGUAGCGAAACAGGAUUAGAUACCCCCGUAGUCC
Molecule: ribosomal RNA, 282 nt
Filed under: uncultured bacterium
Lineage: Bacteria
Description: partial 16S ribosomal RNA
Rfam family: Bacterial small subunit ribosomal RNA
Source: RNAcentral